RNAcentral lists this long non-coding RNA (4142 nucleotides) under Canis lupus familiaris (dog). RNAcentral describes it as "lncRNA (ENSCAFG00000053408.1)". The record is from RNAcentral. Lineage: Eukaryota; Metazoa; Chordata; Mammalia; Carnivora; Canidae.
CCUCUGGAGAGCCGCCCAAGCGGCAAUGGUCACCAGUGGUCACCAGCUCUUGAUUUCUGGAGGCCGGCCACAGGCAUGCGGAGUGUUGGGCCCAGCCCGGUGGAGGUAGAAGCAAGAUUCGUGUCCCCAGGACCAGGGAGUGGGGAGCCAGAUGGGGAAAGAGGCAUGGCAUGAUCCAGGCUUGACAGUCACAGGACAAUGACACCCCUGGAGUCUGAACCCCCACAGUGGGGCUGUAGGGUCCAUGGAGGAGCAUCUCGGGCUUUUCAGAGGAGAAACAGCCUCUGAGGUGGCUGGGCCUUUUCCAAGGCUACCCGGGUAGGAAGACGCCAAGCAAUGACUGGAACUCACGCCUGCGUUGAUGGAGCGGUAAAGCUGAAGUUCUAGAUAAAGGCAUUAUUGACAGGUGGCUGUGAGGCAAGUGUCCGGAUGCCCAGCUGACCCAGCUUGUCAUUGGUGUUUCUGGGGAAAGCGCCAAGGGACUGCUGGGAGCGAAGGCCUCACACUGGGCAGUCGCUGGUAAAGUCCUAAGGCUGGCUGCCCCCGAGGGUCCCGCUCGGCCUCUUCCUCUGAACCCCCAGGCCUUCAUCGCCAUGGGUGGGUCCUCCCAGUGUCCCCCACUCCCAGUCCUGGUCUGAGCCGUGGUCAGAGCUGCUCCUAGUUUCUAGAUCAAGGGCCUGGGACCCACUGAGUGUGUAUGCCUGGGGGACGGGUGUCCAAGGAUGGAUUUGAACCUCGUUCUUGGAUGUGAGGCCGUGACCUGAUCUCUCUGGCCUGGCUGGGGAGAGGCCGGAAAGACUGGUUACAGGAUGUCAUGACAGUGCUGGGGUUCCUGGGGACACUCCCUGAUUGACUCAGAAAUGUGAACUGGGCAUCCGUGAUUGACUGGUGCCCUGCCCCAGCACCCCCGUCAGGGAGCCACACUCCCGUGAAGGCCAAGACCAGUGGGUCGAGAAGGAAGAAACUGAGUCACGGAGAGGUCAAGUUAUUUGUGUUAGUUCUUACAGCUGAUGAGGGGCAGAGCCAGGAUUUGACCUGGAUCCAAAGUUUGGGCAUUUAAACUCCAACUUUCAGCUAGUGAUCAAUGCUGUUGCUGUCGGGGGAGGCUCUGUAGGAGGCCCUGGAGAGGAGGUGUCACUGGAGCCCAGACUUGAGCCCCUAGGAGACGGAAGUGUGGAGGUGGUGAUCCAGGCAGAGGGAACAGCCAGUGCAAAGUGAGUGCUCAGAGGUAGCAAAGAGGCCUGCAGGAACUGUGGGGCAAGGGGCUGGAUCACGCAGGGUUGGGAGGAGGGAGUGGUUGCUGGAUCACACUGGGCCUGCAGUCCACAAGAAGAUCCGCGGGGGAUUUCAGAUGUCAGGCAGGACCCCAGAGUUGGGACCCAGGAAAAGGGAGUCUGAUGACGACCUUUGAGCGCAGGCCACCCUGCUCUAGCCCCGCGUUUCUAGGGGGCUGGUCUUGCUGUGAACCCCCUAGCUCUCCCCACUCCGUCCCGGGCCCAGCGUGGGAGCAGAGGCCAGGGUGAGCAGAGCAGCUGGGCCUGGGAGGGCGGGGCUCGGGGAGGAGGGAGCCCCUCCACCAGGGCAGGAAGCGGGGCUGAAACCCGAGCCGCCUGGAGGGGAGGCUGGACCAGACCCAGGAGUCCCAGGGCUGCCCCGCCUCCAACCCCUCCCGCCCCGGCCGCUGCCCCGCUCGGGGGUGGAUGGUGUGCCCAGGGCUCACCCCCCGUCGGGGCCCUCAGCCUCUCCCACACCCCGCCGUCGGAGAAUUCACUUCCGGGGGGCCCGAAGGAGGUCCUGGCCCCCCACAGUGGAGGGGGGCUGGCUGGGGAAGCUGCAGGGUGCGGGCAGCCCUCCCCCCCACACCCCCCGGACCUGGGCUCGCCCCGCAGGCUCCAGCCUGACUCACCGCAGGCAGCUGUGGUUUGGGCCGCCGGUGGGGGUGGGGGGCAGCAGAGGACAGAGUUGGGGGUACCAAGCCCAGGGGAGCAGCUUCCUCGCGCCACCCACCCUGCCCUGGCCGGAGCUGCUGAGCCCUCAGAGCCAAGGCGCAGGGGACUGCCAGCCCCCCACCCUGUCCUUGGGGGUGACAGUGCCCCGAGCUGCAGAGUCCUGUGCCCCCCAGAACCGGCUCCGUCGCGGUGCUCUGGUGCUGAGCCCACAGGCCGGGAGCUGGCGGUGCGUGCAGGCCUGGAGUCCUGCCGGGGGCCUUCCGGUAGGGGACCCUGUCCGAGCCCCAAGAACGCCCCCCACCCCUCGCGGCCUGUAGGGGAAGGCAAGGGGUGGCCUCUCGGUCCUCCCCGAGCCGUGUGGGCUGAGCCCAGCCACCCGAGCCUCCCCUUGCCCAUCUGUGAAAUGGGCGCUUGACACUGCCCUGUGCUCAGGGGCCGCGCUGGGGAGCAGCCACGUUCAUCCCCGCCAACGGCUUGCUGUCACUUGUCAUGAAGCUCUGAGUCCUGCAUGUGGCUCACAUGCAGUGUCGCCGCGGGGGCCCCGAGGAAGGAAGCCGGUCACUCGUUCUGGAGCAGCAAACGGCCGAGGCCAGAGACCAGAAGCGCCCGCCCCUCUGGCUGCGGGCGGCGCCCUCCGCGGGGACACGGGGACCACGUCCUGCCCCCUCCCCGCCUGCUCCCGGGUCACCUCCAGGCCCCUUCGGUUUGCCGGGCCAUUUACGCUCAUUUGGCCCGUUUGCCGCGCGGCUGAGCUUGGAAUCAGUCAAUCAACCAAUUAUCGAGCGGCCUCCGGCCCGCGCUUCCCGGGCGCCCGUUCAGCCUUCACCCCCAGAGGCAUUUUGGAACCUUCCCAAGACAAAGGGCGGAAGGAAGGAAGGAAGUGCCACCCUGUGGACACAGCGAACAUGACAGUCCCCUGGCUCCGGGCCUUCUUCUCCAGGCCUGUGCAGGGCCCCGCACGGGCUCUGAGCCUGGGAGCUGGGGAUUAGCCCUGGCCCCAGCUUCAGCUGGGGAAACUGAGGCUCCAAGGCAUGCGAGACACCCCCCCCAUCUCAACCUGGGAGCCUAGGUGGCUCGGCCCGGGAUGUGCUCCUUCCCACCCCACCGCCCUGCACCCGGGGUCACCUGCUUCCCAGCCCUCCCUGCUCUCCCUCCCUUUGCCCUGUAAGGCGGGUGUGUGUGUGUCGGGGUGGGGGUCGGGGUCCUGCUGGCUUCAGGCUGCGGAGUCCUCGCUGGUGGGAGAGGGCACCACCAGGAGGAGGGGAGAAGCUGACUCUCCCCCCUCCUUUUGUUUUUGCCAUACACAGUGUCACCUGCGAGGCUCCCAACAGCUCCCUCUGGGUCCCAUAAUACCAGCUCCGCCCUACACCGUGUUUACUUCUGGCUGCCUCAUUGUUCCCCCAUUGGGUCUUCAAAGAAAUAAUCAUUUAGCGUCGCCUUCCAAUACACACAGCAUCAGACUUCCCAUUUGACCGGGUUUAAGUGUCCAAUCUGGGGUCAUUGGGUACAUCCACAUGGUUGUGCAGCCACCGCCACCACCUGUCUUCAGAACUUUCUCGGUCUUCACAAUGGAACCUGUGUCCCCACCAGACCCUAACUCCCCACCCCCGUCCCCCAGGCCCUGGCUCCCACCUGUAAGGACCUAGAGCAGAAGCCCAGGGCGUGAGGUGUCAGUGUGAUCGGUCCCAUUUGAGCUUUUAUACCUACUUCCCCAUAUUAAGUUCUUUGCAUCCAUGGACCCGCUGUGUCCCUGACCCCCGACAGGUGCGCCUAGACUCCUUGCGGUUUGGUUUGCCAUGUCCCGGGAAAGGGGUCUGAAGCCUGCACGUCAGACUCCAGUAAAGCUGGGGUGCACGAGAGAAUGGGGGUGUGCGUGCCUGGGAUGCCCACAGCUCUGGCCAAAUGUUGCUACUAUGGAAUUUGAGGCCCGAUUCGCCGGAACUCGUGAUUAUUUGGAUUUGUGUUGUGAGACCUCAUUUUAUUAUCUCAGCGAUUUAUUUCCUAGGUGUUCAUCCUUUAAGAAAACCUCAGAUCGGGGCAGCCCCGGUGGCCCAGCGGUUUGGCCCCGCCAUCGGCCGGGGAUGUGAUCCUGGGGUCCCGGGAUUGAGUCCCACGUCGGGCUCCCUGCAUGGAGCCUGCUUCUCUCCCUCUCCCUCUGCCUGUGUCUCUGCCUCUCUGUCUGUUAUGAAUAAA